This 459-nucleotide ribosomal RNA is filed under the name uncultured bacterium. RNAcentral describes it as "partial 16S ribosomal RNA". It matches the Rfam family "Bacterial small subunit ribosomal RNA", at positions 338 to 795 of the family's 1533-position model. The record is from RNAcentral.
CCUACGGGCGGCAGCAGUGAGGAAUAUUGGUCAAUGGGCGGGAGCCUGAACCAGCCAAGCCGCGUGAGGGAAGAAGGUACAGCGUAUCGUAAACCUCUUUUGUCAGGGAACAAAGGCGGGGACUAGUCCCCGGAUGAGGGUACCUGAAGAAAAAGCAUCGGCUAACUCCGUGCCAGCAGCCGCGGUAAUACGGAGGAUGCGAGCGUUAUCCGGAUUUAUUGGGAUUAAAGGGUGCGCAGGCGGCCUGUUAAGUCAGCGGGAAAAGCCCGGGGCUCAACCCCGGCGAGCCGUUGAAACUGGCGGGCUGGAGUUGGAGAGAAGUACGCGGAAUGCGCGGUGUAGCGGUGAAAUGCUUAGAUAUCGCGCAGAACCCCGAUUGCGAAGGCAGCGUACCGGCUCCACACUGACGCUGAGGCACGAAAGCGUGGGUAUCGAACAGGAUUAGACACCCUUGUAGUC